Molecule: transfer RNA, 82 nt
Filed under: Pelobates cultripes (western spadefoot toad)
Lineage: Eukaryota; Metazoa; Chordata; Amphibia; Anura; Pelobatidae
Description: tRNA.Leu
Rfam family: tRNA
About the family: Transfer RNA (tRNA) molecules are approximately 80 nucleotides in length.
Source: RNAcentral
GGUAGCAUGACCGAGCGGUCUAAGGCGCUGGAUUUAGGCUCCAGUCUCUUUGGAGGCGUGGGUUCAAAUCCCACCGCUGCCA